This 9546-nucleotide long non-coding RNA is filed under the name Olea europaea subsp. europaea. The record is from RNAcentral. Lineage: Eukaryota; Viridiplantae; Streptophyta; Magnoliopsida; Lamiales; Oleaceae.
CGAAAUUGAUUGGUUAAUCAUACAUUCUGAUUUCAAUUUUUACUUAAUUAAUUUCCCAUAUUUCAUGUUAAUUUGGAAACCAAUUUACAACAAAACUCAACUCUUCGCUUUCCAUUCUCUUUGUUUCUUGGAUAUUUUCACUCUUUCUGGGUAUUCGAUAAAUUUUUAAAAUUUCUCUUUUGGGUAUGUUUUUGUUGAAAUAUUUGAUCAAGAAACUAUAUCGAUCAUUCAUUUUUUGGGUAAUUUAAUGGUUGUUUUUUGCUUUAUAUUUGGGUGGUGCUUGAAUUUAUUGUUUAUACAAGAAAAAUAGAAUGAUCCAGCAAUAUGGAAGUCAAAGUGCUAGCUCGAGCUCGCAUUCGAAUAGCAGUUCGCAGGAUACAGAGGAUGAUCAUACAAUUGCAGAAAUAUUAGCAGAAGAAGAAAGAUUAAAUUAUGAUGGCAGACUUGGCAAGAGGCUUUCUCAUUUGGAUUCGAUCCCGGUAUUUUAAUAUAUUAUCAUCAAUUCCUCAAAUUUCUCCCUUAUUGAAUCCUAAUAAUGAAAUUAUUGUUAAAUAAAUGGAGAUCAUGAACUUGAAUAUGUUGUCCGUAUGCUCCUUAAGUAGUCUUUCUUGAUUAUCAUUCUCUUGUCUUGUGGUUGAUGAUUUUUCUAAUUUGUUUACUUUCUGCAAAACGUUCAAGAAUUUGCAUAUUGCUUAACUAGGAAUAUGGAAUGUACUGCAGUUUAUUAUGUCGAAACUUGCAAGAAUCUGCCUAUUGUUUAACGAGGAUUCUGAAUCAUACUGCAUUUUAUACUGUUAAAAUAACAUAUAAUGAGUGCGCCGAAUGAGGAAAACUCAAUACUGCUAAGCAAUUUGUGUUGGGCGAUUUUGGCUAUACAUAAGCUUACAAAUUCACGGAAUUUUUCAGCAUACGCCUUGGGUAAUUGGUGAUACACCUGAUCCAAAUGAUGCACCCUUAUACCAUGGGAGGCUUGCUGAGAGGUUAUAAUUUUUUUCUUUAAUCUCGUUUUUGUUUUACAUUCUGUAAUUUUUUCUUGUACUUGUUACUCUUUAUUAUUUUAGGAUAUAUUUUAAGGACAUUUAUGGAGAGAGAAAUUGAAAAUAUUCCCAAUGUUUAUAAUUCUUUCAAUUGUCUCUUUUUUUCGAAAAUCCUAAAAUAGUUUUUUCCUUCUCCUCCUCCUCAUUCUUCUUCUCCACUACUUGUACUCCUAUUCUCCCAGUUUUAAAAUAAGAGCAUCUGAUGACUGGCUUACAUUCUUUGUUCUUUUGCUUAUGGAAACAAGAUACUGAAAAAAAGAAAACAAACAAUAAAGUAAGUAGGAGAAAAAGAAAGAAUUGAUACCAGGAAUAAUAGAAUAAAUGGGAAGAAGGUAGGAACAAUUAUUGCAAUUUUUUGUUUACGAAAGAAAAAUUUUCCCAAUUGAUUGUUGUAGGGACUAUACUGAAUUAUUUAGAAAUAAUUAUAGAGAGUUGUUGCAGUAAUUAAGGAUAUAAUGGGAUGCAAAAGGGUGUGGGAUGGAAGAGGAAUUUUUUACAAUGAGAAGUAUGCUUUGAAUUUUACGAACUUGAGUUUGGAGAGUUGAUGGUCAGUUUUGAAGAAUUCCUCUUACUAUUUCUAUCCUGUCAGGAUUUCGAUAAAACUAUAAAAUAUUUUGGCAUAUUACUAAAUAUAGUUAAAUAGAUUCAAGAAGCCUUUAUUAUUUUUUCAGCUUCGGUAGCCAUAUGAGUUUUGAAGUUGUUGCAAUAAUGGUUUAAUGGGUCCUUCUUCACCAUUUUUCUUUGAGAACUUCUUGACUAUAUAUAAAAUGCACGUUUUUUCUUUUAGUCUUUUGCAUGUUUGCUUUGAUGAGUCCUUUUUCAACAUUAUUCUUCUUCGAGAGCAUCUUUUCUAUAUCUGAUAUGAAUAUGUCUUUUCGUUUUAUUUUUUGGCAUGUCUGUUCACUAUUGCCUGUAGAGGAUGGAGGGGUUUUUUUUAAACCUGGUCAUAUGGAUGUGCAGGAUUGUGAUAUUACUGUUUGAUCGUUCGAACGUUCCAUAUUUUUGUUAAUGGAUACUUCUUUCUUGAAAGGCUUUCCUUAACAUAGCUGUCAUUCAGGUUGACAACAUAGGGGUUAGCUGAAUUACAAAUCCAGGGAGAUGGGAAUUGCCAGGUUUGUCUCUCUUGACUAGUCUAAUUAUUGUUAAAUUGUCUAAUUGUACCGAGGAGUUUAUGGAAAUAGUAUCUAGUUAUGCCAAUAUUGUUACCAGUAUUUUUGAUGGAAAGCAGCAAGGAUAAAUUGAAAAUGUUACCAUGCUUCGGGUUGUUUUGUUCAAUUUAUAUCAGUUUACUGUUACUUUUUUGCAUGUUCGGCUAAGCUUGAAAAUAAGUGAAAAGUACUUUUCAUUAACUUAUUGUUUCCAACCAUAACAGUUAAAGGAAUUAUUUAUUUAAAACUUAUUUACUUAUAACUUUUUAAGCUUAGUCAAUCGUGCUCUUUGUUAUGCAAUUUCAAAUUUAUCUUAAGUUACCCUUAUUUGGGACCUUGGUGAGGUAUAUACCUGCAAGGCCAUUCUACAGUUUUGUUGCUGCCAAUGAGUGACAAUCAAAUCUAUUUGACUUACUUGACAGUUUCGAGCCCUCGCAGAUCAGUUGUUAAAAAAUCCCGAUUACCAUAAGCAUGUAAGAAAGCAGGUCAUCAAAUAGGUGUACUUCAGAUAACUUCUCAUGCAUUGACUUAUUCCAAUCCUAAUCUUAGUGUAGUGAUUGAUGAGGAUGCUAAAUAAAAAACUUAAAUUAACUUAAUUAAAUUACUGUGUUCCCACUCACAUUUUCUGUAAAAAAAAGGAAAAAUUUCUAAUUAGCUAUUCAACCUUGACAUAUAUCAUGUUAUUCAAAUCCUAGUUCAACCUCGGUUGAACCUUUACCUUUUGCAGUCAAUGCUUAGGUAGGUUUAAAAAAACAUUCAUCUUCUAGUAUUAUUUUGACAAGUGGGUGCUUUUUUUCACUUUUGCACGUUAUUUGUCAUGCACUAGCUACAUAUUAAGGUUUCACCAUACAAAUUGUGUCUAAACCUUGUAUUAUCAAGACUGCUGUUAACAUUCCUGAAGACCAUCUUUUAGUUCAGAGUCAAAUACAUCAAGAAAACUGAAUAGCUAAACUCCAUCAUCUCUCAAAAAUAUUAUAAUUUACUGUAAUAAUAAUUGCCUGAAGAAUUAAAGCAGCUCCAAAAAUAGAAUUUUCAAAUUUGAUGCUCAAUUCAGAUACUUGAGCUAUAGAUUAGCAGACCAAAAUAAUUGAAAAUUAACUGAUUUUUUGAAUGCUUUAAAGAUUUUCAAAAUGAACAUGUUUUCAUUUGGUGUGGAGUUCAAGGACUUGUACUUUCUCAGUCAUGGGUCGGGACACCUCAAACUAAUAAACAAUUUCCUAAAAGAAAUUCUUCAUCUCAUUAUUCUAACUAUACUUGUGAUAUCGUAGCUUAUUCUGGUUUUUUUUUUCAUAUUUUUUAAGUUAAAAAACACAUGACCUCUCAUCACUUUACUUUGCAUGUCAAAGAAUAUAAAUUCAAACUAGAGAUUCAAUAAUCUCGUAACCAACAUUAUCUCUCACUCAGUCAUUAUUCAGAUUGUUCCGAAUCUUCUGAGGUAAUAUAGGUUUGUCCAAUAAUGUAAGAGUUCAAUGACAUGUGUAGCUAAAUUUAGAAGAAAUAGCAACUAUGCAAAUCUUGGAAGCUACCGUUAUCCAUAUUCAAGUGUCUUAUUGAAACUAGUUUUUAUGAUGUACAAUAUAACACUUAACACAUGUUAACAUAUGACACAAGAUUAUGGAUUGGUUCAGACGAGAUAGGUAUGGUUAGACAAUAAGCUUUUGAAAACAAGUUUUGUGGUAUGAAAAUGCAUUCAAUAUUCUUAUUUCUUCCCUGUCCAUAUCAUAUCAGUUUGUAAAAUUUCAUACGUUCAAAGUGCAGUUUGUAAUUUGACAAUGAUAAUUAUCACUUGAUUUUCCAAGAUAUUUAGAUGGUCUUCUGAAGAGGUUCUCUUCCCCCACCCCAACUUCAUGACCUGCGAAAUCCAGUGAUUUCUAAGUAACAAAGCUAAUAACCUUUGUUACCUGUCAUUUCACCUGUGGUGCCAAAUUCAGAAUUUUUAUCUUUCAACAACUCAUCACCAUGACCCGACACAGUAGAAUUUUAAGCAUAUUGACAUUUGAAAUUUUAUCCUUUCGAUCAGAUCAGUGAUCUUCGCUCGUAACAUACCAUAAUAAUUUCCAAUAACGGGUUUCUCUUGGUUAGUGUCUCAGCAUUACUAAUAUUUUCCAUUUACAACUGUUUCUUAAAUUUUUUCCUUAGAUUAUGAUCUCAGAUGUACUUGCAUUAUGCAUCGCUUCUGAAAUUGCAUCUUCUUUUUCUCAUUUUAGUUUCUUGAUUUCCUUUCAGUUAAAACGUCACAAAAAGCUCUAUGAAGGUUAUGUCCCCAUGAAGUACAAAAGCUACACGAAGAAGAUGAAAAAUUCAGAUACCUAGACUUUGGGUAACAGUUUUCUCCUCAUUUGACGGGGUAAUUUUCAUUGACAUGAUUUUAAUUUCAUCAGGCUGGGGGAGUGGGAGAUCACGUUAUUCUACAAGCAGCUGCAGACCAAGUAAGUUAAAAAUUUUGAUCAUAAAUAUUCUAAUGCUCAAAGCUCAAAGUAUCUCUUUUUCCUCAUACUUUAUUGCAACUUAGUAUGUUCAUGUUAGUAGAUACAAAUAGGUUUCAUAAGAGUGAUACGGUCUCAGUAGAACAUGUUAGAGGGAGAUGUAGAUUGUUUAAGGAUUUUAACUUUUUUUGGAUUUUCCAGUAGUUCUAGCUAUGUAUUGAACGGAGCGGCGAAAAAGGAUGUAGUCAACUCAAAUCUAUUGGGAAUAAGGCUUAGUUUGUUGUUAUCUGUAUAUUGUUCAUCUCACUUGGAAUAUAUAAGGAAUGUCCUGUCUGUUUUUAAGGAUGUAAAUUAGGAAAGACAAGCCAAGCUGAGUGCUAGGGUGUCCAAUGUUUUGAUUUCUUAUCAAAUUAAAUAUUUUUUUUUAACCUUGGUUUAUUUAUAACAAGCCAAUUAGAGGCAAGCUCGAAUAUUUCUUGCACAUCUAUUUAACUUGUAUGACUUGGCAGGACAAGCUAAAUGAAUUGGCUAGCCUAAAAUCUUGAAUAAGCACGAUUUGUCAUUUUGUGAACUAAUCUAUAUCUAGCUCUUAAUGAACAAAUAUUUAGGAGUUGAAAAGCAUCCAUUAAGUGCCUAAUGUUAUGAACAUUUGUUGGAAAUAUUGGCACACAUAUGACAAACGCACUAUUGAAUUUACUCUUCCAAGUUAGACAAUAUUAGUACUGCAUUAUUUUAGCAUCAUUGUCUGUUAUUUUUUGUCACUAAAUUGAUCUAUGCUUUUUUGUGUACCAUCUUAUAUUGGCACCUGAUUAUUUUGAACUUUCUAUAGUUUGAAGCAAAAAUUGCUAUAUUGAAAUCCUUCCUAAGGAAAAAAUCCAUCCAGAUGCAUGCAUAGUGUAUUCUUUAAUCUUGUUUUUACAUUUCUUCUUCUUCUUCAAUGCUAUUUUUUUUUCUCUUACGAUUUUUAUGACGUUCGACUGAAGAAGGAAAAAAAAUGAAAGGUGUAGAAAUCCCAAGAAUCAUGGGAUUAAAUGUGUUGUAUACCUUAUUUGAUUCAGGCAAGUUUAUUUUUCAUUUUUCAGGAGAUUAUAUUCCUUCUUUAUACCACAUUCUUGUAUUAUAAAUAGGAUCCCAUAAUAGUGUCUCAAUCAUCAAUAAAUAAAACAGAAAUUUCCUAACUGCUCUAUUUACAUGGUAUCGAUUUGAACUUUGACGAGGAAUGGGGCUGUGCAGAUAACGGCGUUCAGUAUAGGAGGAAGCUAGAACAUGAACAGGUUUAUGAAUUUGUGGCUGGACUCAAUAACGACCUUGACGAUGUGAGGGGAAGGAUCCUCCAUCGCUACCCUCUGUCGUCGAUGCGAGAGGUGUUUUUGGAGGUGCGGAGAGAAGAAAACUGGCGACUCAUGACGCUUAAGGAUAAGAUAAUUGGGCUAGAAGACGCUUAAGCCCUUUUGUCUAAUGAAAUUGGGCCUAAUGGGUUAGCUCAAUUUAAACAAAGUGGUAUUCAAGAAAUGGGCCAGCUUCAUGGGUCUACAGCAAUUGGAUCAAAGUAAUUGGGCCUUAAUGGAUCUGCUUUAAUAUCUAGAGGACCAAUUGUAAAUAAGCGAAGCCCAAAACGACAAAGAGAACGUCCAUGGGUGACCAUUGUCGUAAAUCGGGGCACAAAGAAGAUAAUUGUUGGGAUAUACACAAAACCAAUUGAUAGAAAAUCAAGACAAAACACAAAAAAUUGUGACUGUCAAGCAUCGGUUGAUUCUACUGAGAUAAAAAAUAACUCCACUUCAAGCGGUGUGCUUAAUGCAGAGCAAUUGGAACAACUCUACAAAAUGUUCUCUAGACUCCGAACUUCUGGACCAUUAAGUUCUCUAGCCCGCAAAGAUAAUUUUUUUUAGAGUACUAAAUACCAUUGCACAGUCUGAUUCUCCUUGGAUUAUUGACUCCGAAGCAUCCGACCACAUGACAUACUAUUUCCUCCUUUUUUCAUCAUAUUCAUUGUGUGCUAACAAUAUUAUAGUGAAAAUUGCAUAUAACUUAUUUUCAACGAUGGAGGGAAAAUGGAGUAUUCGAAUUUCUAACUAUAUAACAUUAGAGUACGUUUUUCAUGUUCCAAAUCUAUUCUGCAAUUUAUUGUAAAUUAGCAGGUUAACAAAAAGCUCCAAUUUUUGCUAUAUUCCUCCAUUCUCGUUGGUUUUUCAAGAUCUAUUUUUGGGAAAGACGAUUGGUAGUGUUAAAGAGUGUGAGGGACUCUACUACUUUGAUGAAGUCAAUGUGAGUAAACAUUAUCAAAUUUCAAAUUGUGGUUUUGCAUUUGUCCCCAAGGAUAACGAAAUUAUGCUAUGGGAUUUUAGAAUUGCUCAUUUUAACUUUCAGCACCUAAAAUGUGUUUAUCCUUCCAUUUUCAUAUAAAACGUCUAUUGAUCUUAAAUUUAUGAGUUGGCAAAACAUCAACAUUUCCCGUUCCCAAGAUCUACGUACAAACCAUACAAACCAUUCAUUGUAAUCUAUAGUGAUCUAUGGGGUCCUUUACGAACCACUAAUUGCACUUACAAAAAUUGGUUAGUGACAUUUAUUGACGACCAUACUCGCAUUUUUUUUGGUUUUAUGUACUAAAAGAAAAAAAUCGAAGUCGAAUCUAUAUUCAUCAACUUCCACUCUAUGGUGCAAACUCAAUACCAAACAAAUAUUCAAAUUCUAUGCAUUGAUAAUGGCACAAAAUACUUUAAUGCCACUCUCUGAGACUACCUUCAAGAACAUGAAAUAAUUUACCAAAGUUUUUGUGUUGACAUCCGCAACAAAAUGGGGUUUUUUCAAAUGAAGAAACAUGCACCUUCUAGAAGUUGGUCAUGUUUUGAUGUUUACCAUAAAUGUGCCCAAACUAUUCUGGGGAGGUGCCACUUUAACAUCCACUUAUCUCAUAAAUACGAUGCCUAGUCGUACUCCCUUGUUUGAUUCUCCUCUCAAAAAAAUUUAGAAUUACUUCCCUAAUUCGUGCCUCGAUUUUAACUUAUCUCUCAAAGUGUUUAUAUGUACUGCUUUUAUCCAUGUGUAUCCCCAUCGUCGAAGUAAACUCGAUCCACAUUCAUCUAAGUGUGUCUUUAUUUGAUAUUCACCAACUCAAAAAGAUUACAAAUGCUAUGAUCCGUCCACAAAAAAUGUGUUUGUCAGCCUUGAUAUCACAUUCUUUGAAAAGACAUCUGAUUUCAACAAACCCUCUCUUUAGGGAGAGAAUGUGAGUGAAGGUCGUUUUUUGGACUUUGAUCUCUCUUCUCUUUCUCAUUCGGAACCCGUCACACCAUCUAACAUGCCAUUUACAUAAGGAAAUUCGAAAUCAAAGGGAGACGUAGAAAAAAAAAAUGAUAAGGAGAUAUUAGUUUACUCAAAAAAGUCAAAAUCAAAGUACAAGGAGAAUCUCAUUCUUGAAGCACCAUGAGAGUUGGAACCAAUGGUAGCUCCAGAUGUCCAUAAGGACACGUUUGAGAGUGAUCUAUCUACCUUUGAGAGUGAUCUAUCACUUACCUUAAUAAAUAGACUCGAUCAUGUAUUGUGCACACUAUCUCAAAAUUCGCAUCUUAUAAUGCUUUGUCUACAAAAUUUCUUGCUUUUUCCUCUAACCUUGAUAGUAAAAAAUUCGCAUCUUCAAAAUUCGACUUCUCUUAUCUCUAACAGCUAACUUGGAUUGGCCCCUUCAACAACUUGACAUUAAAAAUUCAUCCAUCAAUGGGGAAUCUGAAGAGGAAAUCUUCAUGACAUUACCACUGAGUUUUUGUAGAAGAAAUGAAAAGAACAAGGUUUGUAAACUAAAAUAUUCUGUAUACGACCUUAAAUAGUUACCAAGAGCAUGGUUCGAUAGAUUUGCAAAAGUGUUGAAAUGUUAAGGAUAUCAAUAAGGACAAUCAGGUCAUACUAUAUUCUUCCAAAUAUCUGAAGAUGGCAAGAAGACAAUUUUAAUUGUAUAUGUCGAUGACAUAAUUCUAAUUGGAGACAAUACAGUGGAAAUGGAAAGAUUGAAGAUAAGCCUAGCUACAGGGUUCGAAGUGAAAGAUCUGGGACAAAUGUGAUACUUCUUGGGAAUGGAAUUUGCUAGGGGCUUGUUUGAGCCACAUUAUUUUAAAAAAAAAUACAUUUUUCAACAGUGAUUUGAUAUAAUUUUAACCAUACAUUCUUCAAUAAAAUAAUAGUACACGUAAAUUUAAAACAUUUCAUAAUUUUUGACCACAUAUUUUUUAUUGAUUUGACAUGAAUAAUGUAUUUUUCCUAGAAUGUGGCUCAAACAUGGGCUAGAUAAAAAAGAGAAUUAGUAUUUCUCAAAGGAAAUAUGUGCUUGAUGUCCUAAUUGAAAUUGGCAUGCUAGGAUGCAAACCAAGUGACACCUAUAAAUGGAGGAAGAAAAUUAUAGGACGGUGAAAAACCAGUUGAAAAGGAUCAUUAUCAAAGUCUAGUACAAACCAAACUUUGCAUUUGCAAUUAGUGUGGUAAUUCAACAUAUGUAUUCUCCAAAGGAAGCAUACUUAGAAGCAAUAUACAGAAUUCUUAGAUAUCUAAAAGGCUCUCCAGGAAAGGGACUCUUCUUCAAAAAGAGUGAAAGUGAUGAGGACAUCUACUUUUUAUUUAUAUUUAGUUGGAAUUUAUUUAUGUUUUAGAUUUUAUUUAUGUAAUUGGGCUUGUGUUGGCCCAAAUCCAUUCUAUUUAGGGUUUUAGUCUUUACUAUUUAAACCUAAUUGCGAUUUAAUUUCAUUAGUUUUGAUGAAUUGAAGAAUAUUUUGGUGGUUUGUUGCUUAUGGCUUCUCCUUCCUCUCCCCCAUGAAUUUCUGCUUCUUCUCCGGUUUCUCCUCCCAUUCUCUUCGGUUCUCCCAUCUUUCUUGCUUCUUUUUUUUAUUUUUUUAAUUCGUCAUGCAUCAAAUUUGGUUUUAGAGCCAAAUUUUGAGUAAUUUUUCA